This 1684-nucleotide long non-coding RNA is filed under the name Marmota monax (woodchuck). The record is from RNAcentral. Lineage: Eukaryota; Metazoa; Chordata; Mammalia; Rodentia; Sciuridae.
GUUUCUUGGUAAUUCUUAGAGAAAAUUCAAAUAAUAUGUUCAGCCAUUGGAAUCUGAAUUAUUCAAAAGAAUUUUUAGAAUCCAGAAAGAUAUUUGAUAUUAAAAGAAAGGAAAUUAUACUACUAAAUCUUUACUAAAUUGAGAAUUUUCUGUGACAUAGGGAUUGUGACUAGAAGAAAUUCUGAUUAAGUUAUAUUAAAUUGAAUGUUAGCAAUAUGGGAAUGUCAUUCUUCACUGAUCUCUUCCAACAAACCAGAAGCCUUUAAUUAUAAGAUUUAGCAUCUGGUGUAGGCCUUUUCAAAUAUUUCCUCAAGUUUCUAUUCUCCUUUAUAUCCAUUACGCUUUACAGUACCUUUAAGAAAUACUCUACAAGUGCCAAUAAUUUAGAAUGUUGAUAUAUCAAUGUCUGGUUAAGCAUAGCAAGGAAUUCAAUAUAAGAAAGAAAAUGAGAGUUUGAGCAGAAGAGUUACUUGCACACAAAAGAAAAGGGAAUCUCUAGUUAUCUUUGGUCUAGCAGCACAAUCCUAAAAUUAUUUUUUGUUGACAAUAAAAAAUGAUACACAGAAAAUAUUAGGAUGAAAAUUCUGUAUGUUUUCAAGUCUUGGGCUUCUCAGAAAUAGGAAGCAUUUAUGUCUUAUUUCAUAAAUUUGACCUGGAUUAAGCAAAAAAUAGAAAGAAAAUCCUUUUAGUAUUAACUAUUUCAAAUAAUUUUGAGAAGGCAUUUGUAUGAUAAUGUGCUUAGACUUGUAACAUUGUGCUUAGUAGUGACCAUUUGCUCUGUUGCUUUGGACACCAUUACCUCCACACAUUGUACUUUUUUUUUUUAGCAGAAUAUUCACUCUGCGUAGCCUCACAAUAUUUAUUACUGUCAUUUAAUAUAUAGUAGAACCUUAUCAUUGCCAUAGUCCCAAGUUUUCAAUUCUACAAAUAUUUCUAUGACAAGGUGCAAUAAUAAGGUUAAUAUUUGUUGUUCAAUUUUUUGUAGGUGUACAACAUAUGGAAUGAUGGAAUAAAAUGGGUUAACAGGAAUAAUAGUGAUGUAAUUACAUGUAUAUGACUUAAUGUGCUUCUUAGAUAGUCAAAAUUCUAUUUGCCUUACUGCUUGAAAAAAAAAGACCUAAUAUUUGACAAGUAUCCAAGACAGUGUCCAUGAACUUUUAAGAAUAAAACAUCUUAUAGAUGAUUGAUUGCUACCAUUUUUUUGGUUGAAUUUGAUUAUGAAUUCUUAGUGAGUAACUGCUUCCAUGAGUACUCACUAUACUAUUUUUACAAGAACUGAGAAUUAGGAAAUUGCUCCCACUGACAUAAAGCAUGUUGCAACUUCAAACCCAAAUACACAAAAUCCUAGAAAUUCUGGCAAAAGGACUAUGAGUCCCUUAUUAACUAACUGGGAUUUUAAAACAUAGCUUCCUCUAGAGAGUAAAUUGAGCAAAUAGCUUUCACAAAAUGUUUUACUUUGAAUCAUUUUGGUUUCAAAAAACCCGCAGUAUUAGUAAGUCAAACUAGAAGUUAUUUUCUUUGGAACAGAAUGUCCUUUCAGAAUAGUUUUAAACUUUUGCCCAAUUUAAAUCAGAGACCAGACUAAUGAAUACUAUGACCAGGGAUUAUGCCAUAGAAAAAAAAUAUACUAGUGAUUAAUGUUAGACCACAAGCUGGUCUCGGUCACAAUAUGGCUAUGUACAAG